GGCCCUUCGGGCCCUCUUGCCCUUCAGAUGUGCCCCAGAUGGGGAUUAGGUUAGUAGGUGGGGUAACCGGCUUCACCUUAGGCGGACGGUUCCCUAGCUGUUUGAGAGGGAUGCCCAGCCCCCACCGGAAAUGAAGACACGGUCCAGACUCCUUACGGGAGGCAGCAGUGGGGGAAUAUUGCCAAAUGGGGGGCAAGCCUGAUGCACCAUGCCGGUGUAUGAAGAAGGCCUUCGGGUUGUUAAGUACUUUUAGCGGGGAGGAAAGGUGUUGAGGUUUAAUAAACUCAGCAAAUUGACGUUACCUGCAGAAAGAAGCACCGGCUAACUCCGUGCCAGCAGCCGCGGUAAUACGGAGAGUGCAAGCGUUAAUCGGAAUUACUGGGCGUAAAGCGCACGCAGGCGGUCUGUCAAGUCGGAUGUGAAAUCCCCGGGCUCAACCUGGAAACUGCAUUCGAAACUGGCAGGCUAGAGUCUUGUAGAGGGGGGUAGAAUUCCAGGUGUAGCGGUGAAAUGCGUAGAGAUCAGGAGGAAUACCGGUGGCGAAGGCGGCCCCCUGGACAAAGACUGACGCUCAGGUGCGAAAGCGUGGGGAGCAAAMAWGAAYUARAUACCCUGGUAGUCCACGCCGUAWACARAUUKUYGACUUGGAGGUUGUGCCCYUGAGSCGUGGYUUCCGGAGCUAACCGCGUUAAGUCGACCUSCCUGSCGGAGUACGGCCGCAAGGUUAAAACUCAAAUGAAUUGACGGGGGCCCGCACAAGCGGUGGAGCAUGUGGUUUAAUUCGAUGCAACGCGAAGAACCUUACCUACUCUUGACAUCCAGAGAACUUAGCAGAGAUGCUUUGGUGCCUUCGGGAACUCUGAGACAGGUGCUGCAUGGCUGUCGUCAGCUCGUGUUGUGAAAUGUUGGGUUAAGUCCCGCAACGAGCGCAACCCUUAUCCUUUGUUGCCAGCGGUUAGGCCGGGAACUCCAAAGGAGACUGCCCAGUGAUAAACUGGGAGGAAGGUGGGGGAUGACGUUCAAGUCCAUCAUGGCCCCUUACGAGUAGGGGCUUACACACGUGCUACAAUGGGCGCAUUACAAAAGAGAAGCGACCUCGCGAGAAGCAAGCGGACCUCAUAAAGUGCGUCCGUAGUCCGGAAUGGGAGUCUGCACCUCGACUCCCAUGAAAGUCGGGAAUCGCUAGUAAAUCGUGGGAUCAAAAAUGCCCUCGGUGAAUACGUUCCCCGGGGCCUUGUACCCCAC
Molecule: ribosomal RNA, 1245 nt
Filed under: Enterobacteriaceae bacterium BDR3
Lineage: Bacteria; Pseudomonadati; Pseudomonadota; Gammaproteobacteria; Enterobacterales; Enterobacteriaceae
Description: bacterial SSU rRNA
Rfam family: Bacterial small subunit ribosomal RNA
Source: RNAcentral